RNAcentral lists this ribosomal RNA (301 nucleotides) under uncultured bacterium. Its description in RNAcentral is "partial 16S ribosomal RNA". It matches the Rfam family "Bacterial small subunit ribosomal RNA", at positions 509 to 809 of the family's 1533-position model. The record is from RNAcentral.
CAGCCGCCGCGGGAAUACAGAGGGUGCGAGCGUUAAUCGGAUUUACUGGGCGUAAAGCGUGCGUAGGCGGCUAAUUGAGUCGGAUGUGAAAUCCCCGAGCUUAACUUGGGAAUUGCAUUCGAUACUGGUUAGCUAGAGUGUGGGAGAGGAUGGUAGAAUUCCAGGUGUAGCGGUGAAAUGCGUAGAGAUCUGGAGGAAUACCGAUGGCGAAGGCAGCCAUCUGGCCUAACACUGACGCUGAGGUACGAAAGCAUGGGGAGCAAACAGGAUUAGAUACCCGAGUAGUCCCUGUCUCUUAUAA